Molecule: long non-coding RNA, 682 nt
Organism: Solanum pennellii
Lineage: Eukaryota; Viridiplantae; Streptophyta; Magnoliopsida; Solanales; Solanaceae
Exons: 2
Source: RefSeq, a predicted model, not a curated record
ACCUGUUCCCUCUCCAAGGGUUGCUCCUAAUCAAGACGAAAAAAAAAAACGUUUCAACGAAAAAGAUAUUCUUUUUUAAAUAGACUUAAAAAGGUAAAUAAGACAAACAAAUCGAAACUGAAGAAAUAACUACUCGUACUAUCAUAAACCUUUUGGCUUUUACAUGCAUGCAUAAAAGGUAAAACAUGUAUUGAAUAGUCCUCAUGAUUGAAAAAAUAGAGUGUAAAAAUUUGUGUUGUCUUCUUAAUAACUUAAAUCCAUUUCACGAAUGACAUUAUGAAAAAGGAUUGUUACUCACAUCUUGUGGUAAACCGUUAAUGUCGUACUCCCUUCAUUUAAAAAAGAAUGACCUAGCUUGAUUUACACGAAGUUUAAGAAAAAAAAAACUUUUCAAUGUAAACGUUCAAAAUAAAGUUAUGUCAAAUGUACCAAGUGUCUUUAAUCGCAUGAUCUAAAUAUGUUGAGUUGAAAGUUGAAAUUGAAGUGUUCGCCAAAACAGAAAAUGAAUCAUUGUUUUUGGAAAAGACUAAAAAGAGAUAUAGGUAGUUUUUUUUAAACGGAAGGGGUAUUUAUUUCAUCUAAUACUUUCUCUAAGUGCCAAUUAAUAGUAGGUUAUAUAUUUGAUACUCCCUUCGUUUUAAGUUGUUUGUUUAGUUUUGAUUUGAUACGUAAUUAAAAAAAA